CAAGGAAUUUUCCCCAAUGGGCGCAAGCCUGAGGGAGCAACGCCGCGUGCAGGACGACGGCUUUCGGGUUGUAAACUGCUUUUGCGUGGGACGAUAACGACGGUACCACGCGAAUAAGCCCCGGCUAACUCUGUGCCAGCAGCCGCGGUAAUACGAAGGGGGCUAGCGUUGUUCGGAAUUACUGGGCGUAAAGCGCGCGUAGGCGGACUAUUAAGUCAGGGGUGAAAUCCCGGGGCUCAACCUCGGAAUUGCCUUUGAUACUGGUAGUCUAGAGUCCGUGAGAGGUGAGUGGAACUCCGAGUGUAGAGGUGAAAUUCGUAGAUAUUCGGAAGAACACCAGUGGCGAAGGCGGCUCACUGGCACGGUACUGACGCUGAGGUGCGAAAGCGUGGGGAGCAAACAGGAUUAGAUACCCCGGUAGUCC
This 424-nucleotide ribosomal RNA is filed under the name uncultured prokaryote. Its description in RNAcentral is "bacterial SSU rRNA". It matches the Rfam family "Bacterial small subunit ribosomal RNA", at positions 355 to 796 of the family's 1533-position model. The record is from RNAcentral.